Molecule: ribosomal RNA, 253 nt
Filed under: uncultured bacterium
Lineage: Bacteria
Description: partial 16S ribosomal RNA
Rfam family: Bacterial small subunit ribosomal RNA
Source: RNAcentral
UACAGAGGUCUCAAGCGUUGUUCGGAUUCAUUGGGCGUAAAGGGUGUGUAGGUGGCGCCGUAAGUCGGGUGUGAAAUUUCGAGGCUUAACCUCGAAACUGCAUUCGAUACUGCGGUGCUUGAGGACUGGAGAGGAGACUGGAAUUUAUGGUGUAGCAGUGAAAUGCGUAGAUAUCAUAAGGAAGACCAGUGGCGAAGGCGGGUCUCUGGACAGUUCCUGACACUGAGACACGAAGGCCAGGGGAGCAAACGGG